CAUGAAGUUAAAUUAUUUCCUUUUAUUGUGAUUCUGGCUAUUUCCUUUUUGGUGCUAUGGGAAUGAAUAUGGAAGCAAGAUGUCUCCUAACAAUGGACCAAGGACAUUGCGUCGACCUUAUACAAAUGUAUGCUUACAACAGGAAUACUGAUAAAUGCGAAAGAUUUCUCUACGGAGGGUGGGGGAAAUGAGAACCGUUUCAGAACCAGGAAAGAGUGCAAAAGGGCUUGCUAGAUUGACCACAAAAUUUCAUUUGCACUGAUCUAUUCUCUAUCAUAUAUGAGAUGAAUUAUUAAAUAUUGCAUUUUGAAACU
Helicoverpa armigera (cotton bollworm) is the source of this 314-nucleotide long non-coding RNA. RefSeq lists it as uncharacterized. The transcript is spliced from 3 exons. The record is from RefSeq and is a predicted model, not a curated record. NCBI's taxonomy places the organism in Eukaryota, Metazoa, Arthropoda, Insecta, Lepidoptera, Noctuidae.